RNAcentral lists this ribosomal RNA (460 nucleotides) under uncultured bacterium. Its description in RNAcentral is "partial 16S ribosomal RNA". It matches the Rfam family "Bacterial small subunit ribosomal RNA", at positions 338 to 795 of the family's 1533-position model. The record is from RNAcentral.
CCUACGGGAGGCAGCAGUGAGGAAUAUUGGUCAAUGGGCGGAAGCCUGAACCAGCCAAGUCGCGUGAGGGAAUACUGCCCUAUGGGUUGUAAACCUCUUUUGCCGGGGAGCAACGGCGGGGACGUGUCCCCGCCCGGAGAGUACCCGGAGAAAAAGCAUCGGCUAACUCCGUGCCAGCAGCCGCGGUAAUACGGAGGAUGCGAGCGUUAUCCGGAUUUAUUGGGUUUAAAGGGUGCGUAGGCGGGGUUCUAAGUCAGCGGUAAAAAUUCGGGGCUCAACCCCGUCCGGCCGUUGAAACUGGGGGCCUUGAGUGGGCGAGAAGAAGGCGGAAUGCGUGGUGUAGCGGUGAAAUGCAUAGAUAUCACGCAGAACCCCGAUUGCGAAGGCAGCCUUCCGGCGCCCUACUGACGCUGAGGCACGAAAGUGCGGGGAUCGAACAGGAUUAGAUACCCGAGUAGUC